Molecule: transfer RNA, 84 nt
Filed under: Acidobacteriota bacterium
Lineage: Bacteria; Pseudomonadati; Acidobacteriota
Also listed under: 1 other name
Description: Acidobacteria bacterium tRNA-Leu
Rfam family: tRNA
About the family: Transfer RNA (tRNA) molecules are approximately 80 nucleotides in length. Their secondary structure includes four short double-helical elements and three loops (D, anti-codon, and T loops).
Source: RNAcentral
GCCCAAGUGGCGGAACUGGCAGACGCGGUAGAUUCAGGGUCUAGUGCCGGCAACGGCGUGGAGGUUCGAAUCCUCUCUUGGGCA